Molecule: long non-coding RNA, 601 nt
Organism: Cebus imitator (Panamanian white-faced capuchin)
Lineage: Eukaryota; Metazoa; Chordata; Mammalia; Primates; Cebidae
Exons: 5
Source: RefSeq, a predicted model, not a curated record
UGUGAACGUCAGGAUGUGAGACCAGAGGGUGAGGAAAAUUGAAAGCAUCCUGCCUGAACUAUGACUGGAGGAACCAACAGUUUAAAGUCCAGCAAUCCACCACGAGAAGAAUGUAUUCUUACUGGCCACUGGUCCAAAAAGAGUGAAAUAUAUGUGAAGUUGACUUGAAUCUGACCUACAGUCUGGAGCAGUCACCCAGGAUUGCAACAAUGUUAGCACCAUCAGCCCCUAAAGUAGAUGAACACUGACUGUGAGCAAGGAAGAAUAGUGAAACCCCAGGAACAAUGUGACUGGGACAUUCUUCAACGAGACAGGAACAGAAAGAUCUGAAAAGAGUAACAGCCAUCAAACCGGAAGGUUGAGGAAGUCAAGCAGAACAUUUCAGAGCAGCCAUGCCUGCUUGUCAAAAAGAUGACAAACCAGAUACACCCUUUCCUCCUGCAGCACCAACUGAUCCUAACAAGGCACCCCAAACCCACUGGCCUAUCAGUUCCAAUGACGACGUUUGGGUGAGAAUGUGAUCCAACUCUUCAUCUCCCAAGACCAGAUACUGAUUUAGGUUUCUGACAGGAAUAAAUAGAAUUUUCUUUUCUCGAUGAUU